Long non-coding RNA from Daktulosphaira vitifoliae (grape phylloxera), 378 nucleotides. RefSeq lists it as uncharacterized. NCBI's taxonomy places the organism in Eukaryota, Metazoa, Arthropoda, Insecta, Hemiptera, Phylloxeridae. The record is from RefSeq and is a predicted model, not a curated record. The transcript has 2 exons.
CAUUCAGUUUUCAUGCGAAAAAAAUUUGUUCGAAAAUUUCUUAACACAAUAAAAGCUUAUCACUAAUAUGCUUUACUACGAAUGCAUAAAGGGGAGUCAUUGAUAAGAUGCGAUGGUACAUUUCAACAGAUAACAAAACAACAUAUAAGGAGUUCUCAUAUUAAGUAAAGAAAAUGUAUUAGAAAUCAGUGGCGAAUCCAGGUUUUUAUGGUUGAGGUGCCCCCUUCAAUUAAGUUGGAUGAGAAAAAUAUUUAUAGUAACCCUAAAAAAUGUUACAACAUUUUUUUUUAUUUAAACAAAAUGAAGGAACAAACCGAGAAUGAAAAAACUGAAGUUAAAAUAAAAAAAAAUCCAAAAUAAAUAAAUAUUUUUAAGCAA